RNAcentral lists this long non-coding RNA (451 nucleotides) under Sorghum bicolor (sorghum). RNAcentral describes it as "long non-coding RNA (SBIC_LNC018594)". Lineage: Eukaryota; Viridiplantae; Streptophyta; Magnoliopsida; Poales; Poaceae. The record is from RNAcentral.
GGUUGUGUCAGAGAUGUAGGACCAGCUAUAGGUUGUGUCGGAGAGGAUGUAGGAGAGGAUGUAUCGCUGGUGUUGAUGUCCUCAUCAGCUUGUUGAAUUUGCGUUGCUUCGGUUUGUGUCGAGUUGCUGGUCUUAGUGUCUAGUCCUUUAGAGUUUCGAGUUCUUGUCACCAUCUAUACAUAGCCGAGUAUUACCAUAUCUUCUCUCUGUCGAAUCUGUUGUGAAGUCCGAAUUGAACUGUGAUCCAAAAAGAAAGAUAACUCCAUACUUGUUCGGCCUUACUCUAGAGAGAGAGAGAGAGUGUGUGUGUGUAGCGAGUUGCUCUUUUGUAUUCCUUUGUUCAUAUAAUCAGUUUUUGAGGUUGCCCAAAAAAAAGAAAAAAAAGAAAAGAGAAAAGAUUCAAAAGAAAAAAAGGGCUGUUUUUCAUAUUGAUUUUAGGUUUCUUCCACCU